GAUGAACGCUGGCGGCGUGCCUAAUACAUGCAAGUCGAGCGAACAGAUGAGGAGCUUGCUCCUCUGACGUUAGCGGCGGACGGGUGAGUAACACGUGGAUAACCUACCUAUAAGACUGGGAUAACUUCGGGAAACCGGAGCUAAUACCGGAUAAUAUAUUGAACCGCAUGGUUCAAUAGUGAAAGACGGUUUUGCUGUCACUUAUAGAUGGAUCCGCGCCGCAUUAGCUAGUUGGUAAGGUAACGGCUUACCAAGGCAACGAUGCGUAGCCGACCUGAGAGGGUGAGCGGCCAGACUGGAAGUGAGACACGGUCCAGACGCCUACGGGAGGAAGCAGUGGGGCAUUAUCGAUAAUGGUCUAAAGCCUGAAAAACCAUCUCAGCGGGAAAGAAGAAGGUUUUCGGAUCCUAUACCCCUGUUAUUGGGGAAAAACAAAAAUGCAACGAACUAUGCACGUCUAGACGGUACCUAAUCAGAAAGCCACGGCUAGCCUCGUC
This 497-nucleotide ribosomal RNA is filed under the name uncultured bacterium. RNAcentral's name for it is "partial 16S ribosomal RNA". It matches the Rfam family "Bacterial small subunit ribosomal RNA", at positions 28 to 507 of the family's 1533-position model. The record is from RNAcentral.